UUUCCAGACACUCUGUGCAAAGAACAGAGGCAAGCCUCCAGCCAGGAGCUCAUGAAAUCAUGAACUGAGGCCUCAGUGCAAUAGCUCAUGAGGAAAUGAAUUAUUUCAACAGCCAGUUCUGGAAGUUGGAAGUACAAGAUCAGAUUGCCAGCAUCAUCAGGUACUCAUGAGGGCCGUCUUCCAGCUUGCAGACUGCCAACUUCUCAUUGUGUCCUCAGGUGAGAAAAAUUUGGCUCGUGGUGAUAGUCUUGGAUAUCACCUUCAUCCCCUCGGAUGUUUGUAGAUAAUCCUCCAUUAUAUUUGGAAUGAAUACUGUAGAUAUAUGAGGUUGGACUAUCCUACGUUUUGCUUGUUUAUGGGUUUUGCAUCUUGAUGUCUUCCUGAAGUAUUCUUCAUGGGGAAUUUCCAAAUCAACCACAAUUUGAUAUCAAAGUAAUGUCAAGUGCUUCUGACCCACUGCAUUAAACGUGUGCUGAGCAGUUGGUGGUAGAAGACAUUAUUGUGAAGGCUGCUCACCACCAAUUUCAUCACUGUUGCUAACUCCAGCUCAUCUAAUCUCUGCAACAUCUGCUACCAGCACCUUCUCUUGCCUCCUUUUGUGAACAUAGUUUUUUCUUCUGGUUAGAAAAUCAGUUCGAACUUCUUGAGUUUUGUGUUUUAAACUCUUCUCAACUGUUCCGAUGAUUGAUGGAUGGCCCAGAGGCGACCUCUUUAUCUCCAGCAACAUAUUUGGCUGUUGGCCCGGUAGAGAGGUACUCCAGAAGCUUGCUGGUUCAUCAUGCUCUCAUCUUUAACCACAACUAUUUAUCUGACUCCUUCCAUCUCCACAGCACUGUGUGAGGGAUCAGUGAUAAGAGACGGUGAAAGACAUGCGCAAAUGGAUAAAUAAUAAGCAGGAUAUGUAGAAUGACACAACAAUUGAUGAGUAAUUUAGGAGAUCCAAUAACUAAAAAAAAAAAGACUGGGGACAAGUUCAUGGAAAGAGUAAUCAACUAAGCCUUAUAACAUAAAAUUGACAAAUAGAGAAGGCAUGCAAUCCAGUAGAAUAGAGUGCAAAAGAGGUAGAAGACUAAUCGUUUCAAGACAUGUUGAGCCACAACAGCAAUAACAUUGUGACAAAAAACGUCGGUGUAGACUGCAGAAGAUCUUCAAUGACGGAUCAAGCUGUAUAGACUUUUUUUUACCCUCAUAUACUGAAUAGUCAUUUAAGGUAUACAGUGCCAACGUAAGAGAGAAAGGUGGUCUAUCAUUUUGGAGUUUCUUUCCACCUCUGGAGAAUUGCUCAGGAAAUCUGGCUAACAUACCAAAUAAAUCAAAUGGAUUUAA
This 1326-nucleotide long non-coding RNA is filed under the name Homo sapiens (human). Its description in RNAcentral is "PREDICTED lncRNA (TCONS_00235668)". The record is from RNAcentral. Lineage: Eukaryota; Metazoa; Chordata; Mammalia; Primates; Hominidae.